UAUAAUGAAAAAAGAGAACUGACUGUCUGGGACAACCAGGGUCAUGUGCUUAAUUCACAAAUUUUGUUUCAAAUAUCAAGCUACGUUAACUGUACUUGUUCAGCUCCCAUAUCUGGGUAUUAAUAUACAGUGACUAUAAUGUAGUUUAAUCUGUCAGAUAUCAGAUAAUAAUAUGAUCUUUUUCUUUUUACUUUUAACUGCAACUUUUUCUUUUAUCCUCUUAAAACAGAUGACAGACUCUUCUACAUCAGCCCCAGUAGGCAGUACAUUCGGCUAGUUGUCCUGUCAGAGGAAGAGAAGAGGUCUGUUCUUACGGAGUGCCACAAUAACCCUGGGACUGGCAAUCAAAGUGGCAUCAGAGGCACUCAAAACAGGGUUAUUGCUGGAUACUAUUGGCCUACAAUUAUCCAGGAGGUGAAAGAAUGGGUCAGAUCUUGUCACCGCUGCCAGUUGAAUGACCCCAUCAAGACUGUUGUGCCAGUCUUGCAUUCCAUUAAGGUAAAAGAAUCUUGGGAGGUGCUUGGUUUGGAUUUGAUUUGACCACUGCCAGAAACAGCACGCAACAUCAAGUAUGUACUUACCAUGACAGACCUGUACACCAAGUGGGUGAUUGCAGAACCCAUUCAAUCUAAGACAGCAGCUUAUAUGUCUGCAAUAAUAACCACAAAGUUGUACUUUUUCGGCAUGGAUAGGAAAAUCAUUACAGACCAAGGGAAGGAGUUUGUCAACAAGCUCAACAACAGCAUUUUCAGUACGCUGAAAAUCAAACAUGCUGUCUCCAGUGCUUACCAUCCCCAGACCAAUGGACAGGAUAAAAGAACCGAUCAGAAUAACAAGCGUACUCUCAGGAAGUAUGUGAAUGACAACCAUAAUGACUGGGAUCUCCACCUUCCUGCUGUGGUGUAUGGAAUCAACACUGCAAAGCAAGUUGUGUCUUAACAUGCUUACUUAUUUAUAUUUAUAAUGUCUAUGGUUAGUUGUCAAUGGUAAAACUGAAUUGAUGAAUUUAUUUAAUAUUUAAUGUCAAGGGUGGAGUUUUUCCCUUUAAUACAAAUGUAAUAGUUAAUGGGAAGCUUCCUAUGUGAUCAGUACUCGACUAGACACUGUCCCUACUUUGACACCCACGUCUGCCAGAGGUCAUGAAUGCCUGUCCCAUGGGAGAUAAUUUUGAAGUUGCUGACCUGGAAGAUGAUAUCGACACCAGAGUCAAUAAGAUGAAACUCCUUAAUGAAAUGGUUUGUAUUUGAAUAAUAAAGGUAAAUUAAUUAGUGACUAAUAUCGGAAUUAGACCUAGGCAUAGGCUGAUCUAUGUAUUUUCUUUGCUAUGAUUCUGCUUCUCUGAGCUCUUGUUAUGUCACUGUUACACUGUAUAUUUAGAGUAAUGUAUGUAAUGUAAUGUUUCUGGGACUGUGUUUGUGUGUGUUCAGAGUGUCACUAUCACUUUAGCAUUUUCUGCCUCAGUAGAUAGCAUCACCAGGCAAAGAAUUGACGACGGAGGUGACUCGGUGUGACCUACAUAAACUGGGGCGGGUAACUACCACCCUCUCCUGUCAGAGAUAGGAUACUUAAAAACCUAUGCUUGGCCUCUCUAGUUAGACAAGCAAUUGAAUUUUCAUGUGAAGCCAUACUCCCUCUCUCUUUGUUACAUAGUAAUGAAUAAAUCUUUUUCCUUAUUGUUCUACCUUGGCCUGACUGAGACUCCAUUGAUCUGUUGGUUUCAAAAAUAAAUCCCAUCAAGAGAAGAGACCAGAGAAUUCUGUAUUUGUUUUCAAUGAGUUUUCAUUUUUGGGUACUGUUCUUUUUUUUGUAGGUUCUUCGCAACAUAGAGAGAGCACAGAGCAUGCAACAAAAUCAUUCCAAAAUCGCAAGCGCAAGUAUGUCCGAGUAUAUUCAGUUCAGGCCGGUGAUGAUGUUCUGCUCUCACGGGACCCCAAGAAAUGAUGGACAGGAGACACAUUUAUAAGUCAGCACCAAGGACCAUAUACUGUGGCCAGCAUCUCUUCCAAAGGGGUAGCCACUAUUGUGAAAGGUUCAACUUGCCAGAGGGUCAGUGUGUCAAGACUGAGGACAUACUACAGAUUGAAAUAUGGACCAGCUGAGAGGAUGAUUCUCCAGGACCACUGUUACUCAACAUUGAAAUGGCAGAUAGAGCAUCCAUAUGCUUGUUCAGGUGCAAAGUGGGAGAAGGACUUGGGCCCUAUUCUAGAUGAACUGUUAAAGCAUGUGUUGGACAAAAAUCAGCCAUCAGGAGAACUGAUCGUAAAACAAGGCAAAUUAUGCCUCGCACGAGAAGACUUCUGGAGCCUGGGUUUAAGCCAGUGCAUGGAAUCUAAUAUCGGAAAUGCUUACCUCAAGAUUGUGGAAGAAGCUGCGCGAAGACAUGGAAAACAUUUUCAUAUUGUGGACCUCUAUGUUGUUGCCACCUGGAAGGACAACAAUGUGGACCCAGUGCAUUGUUCGCCUACACAUUGCAACCUUCAUUGACCCAGGAUCCUGGACUGAAAAAACAGGAAGAGACUUUGGGUGUACAGGGAAUAUCUGUGGUGUCUACAUGCUGAUGGAGGAGGUGCCAUUGAUUCUCCAGUUGUGGUGCAUUCAGCCGACGGAGAGGUUUUGCCUAGAAGGUUAUGACAGACUCUACAGAUAAAAUUUCAGUAUCUUGGCUGUAUUAAGUCACUGUUUGGCAAAGUGAUACUAGAAAGGUGUUAUACAAAUAGAGUGCAUAUACAUUUACAUAUUUUCCAAAGACAUGGACAGAGAUUUGCAUACUGGACAGAAGAAGCAUCCCAACUCCUUCAGGGAACCCUUGAGCCUGUCUUUAGGGUGUCAAAAUCCACCACUACAAAACUGUCGCCCAGCAGAAGAGUUGUGGUUGAAGAGGACACUGAUAAGGUGCAACAGCCAACCAUUGUGAGAGACCUUCAUACAGCGAGGUACUGGGUACACAGUCGCAGAGACUUAUUCCAUGGGGAUGUGAGAGAGCCUGCUUUUCUGCAGAUGAACAGUGAUGAACAACAAAAUGCCCCCAGGAAGGUCCUGGGGGGUGAAUUCUCUAAUGCAAAGGAUGACUUUUUGUUUAUAUUUCAGUGUCAAGAGGACAUGGAAACAUUUUUGUCAUACUGUGAUGAACUUGAUGAAAAAGGCCUGAAGGUCAAUGCCAUGUUCCUCAAUUGCAGUAGAUGAUUGAGUGAGUGAGUGAGUGAGUGAGUGAGUGAUUGAGUGAGUGAGUACACACUUAUAUACACAUCUGUAUUUCCCAAAUGGGGUCUAACAAAGGUAAACUAUUUAGUUUAAUUUUAUUUAAUUUUUCUAUUUCUUUUUAAUUUGUGCCACAUAUUAACCUUGAAAUAUUUAACCAGAAAAGUGUAUUUAUAUCAAGAGAAUCACUAGUAAAGAACUAUUUCCAGUAUUGAUCGGGUAGUGUCAAACAACAACUGUCAACAAUUGCCGUAAAUUGUUUCGACAUACUUCAGACAGGAACUAGACACAUUUUCACACAUGCGCAGUACAAAUCGUGUUUCCGGUACGGAUUGAGUAGUGACAAGUCUCGUUCAGCAAAAUGAAUGAAUCUGUAUUCAAGUCAUUUCGUUCAUUUGAGCAGAAUUAAAUUAAAAUGUUAAAUUUUCAAUAGCCAAAUCCCCCCAACACGUCUACUUAUGCAAACUUUGAUUAUAGUUCCAAUAAGGAAAAAAUGAUAAUGCAGCCAAGGACAAAUUAUGAGAAACAGAAUGAUUAGUUCACCUCCUGAGUCAUCUGAUCCGAGUCGUUCGUUCUUUUGUCACAUACGGCUGUCACGACAAAAGAGCGAACAACUUGGACAAGAAUUUCUGUUUCCUAUGUGAGCAAUGCAUAGCCUAACGGCUGUCACGUGACAAAAGAAUGAACGACUCGGACCAAAAUUGAAAGGUGAACUAAUAAUUUCUGUUUCCUGUACAGCGCCUAUACGGUUUUCACAUAACAAACGUGCGGCCAACACAAAAUGAAUUAAUCACUCUCUGAGAUUACUCGUUCUUCUGAGUCACAUAAAAGAUUCGUUCAAAAUGAACGGAUCAUUCAUGAACGAUCACUAGAGUUGAGACGAAUUGACAACUUUUCUCUCGUCUCCUUAUUUUCUCCUGUUUUAACAGGGAUGCCUCACAAAUAAUGUACAAAACAUAUAAAAUAUGUAUGGAUCGAGUGUUUAAAUGACAAAUGUUUUAUUUGUCAUCCAGAGUGGUAAUUUGCUGAGUUUGAUGUAAAAAUGCUGAUUCCUUUUGCUCCAGUAUGUUUAAAGUUAGCUGUUGAAGGCUCCAGUUGUUUGUGAUGCUUGGUUCACCUGCUCAAUUUUUAGUUCAAAACAGUUUUACAAGUUGUAUUACUCUUACUUAAUGUUCUUAGAUUGGUGCGCUCCUCUGAUCAUGUGACGUAUUGCACACGAUAGUGAAUGUCUAUUACAGAGACAUGCAUGCUGUGAAAUGCACUUAAACUGAAACAAAUGACACUUUAAAAGGUGAAAUCAAUUAAUAUUCAUAGAGAAUGUCUCAGAUAUAUGUGAAUACAUACAGAUAUUUAAUAUUCUCUACUGCUGUCAUGUUAAAUUAAGUAUUGUCAAUGUGGUCUAAAUUGAACUAUUGUACAAAUGGGAUUGAAUUCAUGUUGAAGAAAAAGGAUAAUAGUGAUGAUGUGUAAUGCUGAUUUUAUGUAGAUUGUGUUAUGUACAAAGAAUUUAAGAAUGUGCAAAAGGGAAAAAAAGAUGACACAAGAACAUUGAAAAAUAUAAUGUUAUUGUUUUUAAAGCAAACUGACAUUAAGAAAUGUUGAAUAAAAAAAAUGACUGAGGAGUU
Myxocyprinus asiaticus (Chinese sucker) is the source of this 4823-nucleotide long non-coding RNA. RefSeq lists it as uncharacterized. The transcript is spliced from 13 exons. NCBI's taxonomy places the organism in Eukaryota, Metazoa, Chordata, Actinopteri, Cypriniformes, Catostomidae. The record is from RefSeq and is a predicted model, not a curated record.